CCAAUAGCGUAUAUUAAAGUUGUUGCAGUUAAAAAGCUCGUAGUUGAAUUUCGGGAUUGGCGCAUCGGUCGUGCCUCACGGGGUAUGAACUGGUGCAGUCAAUUUCUCACCUUCUGGAGAACCGCGAUGUCCUUAAUUGGAUGCCGCGGGGAACCAGGACCUUUACUUUGAAAAAAUUAGAGUGUUUAAAGCAGGCAUUUUUGCUUGAAUACAUUAGCAUGGAAUAAUAAAAUAGGACGGCAUGGUUCUAUUUUGUUGGUUUCUAGGACCACCUUAAUGAUUAAUAGGGAUAGUUGGGGGCAUUAGUAUUCAAUUGUCAGAGGUGAAAUUCUUGGAUUUAUUGAAGACUAACUACUGCGAAAGCAUUUGCCAAGGAUGUUUUCAUUAAUCAAGAACGAAAGUUAGGGGAUCGAAGACGAUCAGAUACCGUCGUAGUCUUAACCAUAAACUAUGCCGACUAGGAAUCAGACGAUGUUAAUUUUUUAAUGACUCGUUUGGCACCUUACG
Molecule: ribosomal RNA, 507 nt
Filed under: uncultured Glomeromycotina
Lineage: Eukaryota; Fungi; Glomeromycota
Description: partial small subunit ribosomal RNA
Rfam family: Eukaryotic small subunit ribosomal RNA
Source: RNAcentral